GAUGAACGCUGGCGGCGUGCUUAACACAUGCAAGUCGAACGAACGACUAUUAACAGAACCUUUCGGGGCGAAGAUGAUAGAAGUUAGUGGCGGACGGGUGCGUAACGCGUGGGUAAUCUGCCUUUGUCAAAGGAAUAACUAUUCGAAAGAAUAGCUAAAACCGUAUAACAUAUUAAUAGGGCAUCCUAAUAAUAUCAAAACGAUAGUGGACAAAGAUGAGCCCGCGUCUGAUUAGCUAGUUGGUGAGAUAAAAGCCCACCAAGGCAACGAUCAGUAGCCGACCUGAGAGGGUGAACGGCCACAUUGGAACUGAGACACGGUCCAAACUCCUACGGGAGGCAGCAGUGGGGAAUAUUGCACAAUGGGGGGAACCCUGAUGCAGCAACGCCGCGUGAGUGAAGAAGGCAUUCGUGUCGUAAAACUCUGUAGUAGGGGAAGAAAGAAAGGACAGUACCCUAAAAGAAAGCCCC
RNAcentral lists this ribosomal RNA (470 nucleotides) under Filifactor alocis. Its description in RNAcentral is "bacterial SSU rRNA". It matches the Rfam family "Bacterial small subunit ribosomal RNA", at positions 28 to 494 of the family's 1533-position model. The record is from RNAcentral. Lineage: Bacteria; Bacillati; Bacillota; Clostridia; Peptostreptococcales; Filifactoraceae.